GGAGAGGUGUCCGAGUGGUCGAUGGUGCAUGCUUGGAAAGCAUGUGUGCAGCAAUGCACCGGGGGUUCGAAUCCCCCUCUCUCCG
RNAcentral lists this transfer RNA (85 nucleotides) under Spirochaetales bacterium. RNAcentral's name for it is "tRNA-Ser". It matches the Rfam family "tRNA". From Rfam's summary of the family: Transfer RNA (tRNA) molecules are approximately 80 nucleotides in length. Their secondary structure includes four short double-helical elements and three loops (D, anti-codon, and T loops). The record is from RNAcentral. Lineage: Bacteria; Pseudomonadati; Spirochaetota; Spirochaetia; Spirochaetales.